GCGUGCCGGGAGGAGGGCCUGCCUCGCGAGGGCUUCACGUCAAGGGCUUGGCGACGGCCGUGUCCCCCGUGGUCCCCUCGUCCCCUGCGCUUUGGCAUGUCACCCCCUCCCUCUUACCAGCAAGUGAGCUGCCCUUGGACGUCCCUGUGACCCCAGGAGCAGGGACUGCACUGUCGCCCUGUACCUGUAGGGUCACGUACCCCCUCGCGUGCCGCUGGAAGGUGGACAACCCUCGUUCCACUUUAUUUUAAAUCCUGGUAGAGCUUGCAAUGAGUCACGAUUCCCGUGCUUGCGUUGGUGACAGCGCAGUACAACCCUUGCUGAUGCCUCCCAAGGAAACGUCUGUUCCCUUGGAGCAAAACUGGCCGUCCAUCUCAGGUCCUGCCUGGUCCCCACGGCUCCAUCGGAUGUCGUUGGCUGGGGACGGACGCCGCGCGCUCACGCCGUCGUUCUGUCGGUUCCAGGGUCCCCCGCUGACGAGCGAGACAUGCAGUAGGAGCCGGCGCUUCCCAUCGGAGAGCGACGCUCCUGGGUGCCGCGAGGCCCUGGGCACAGCCGGGAGAGCGGCUCGGGAGAGGCCAGGAGAUGCACCAAAUCAGCUGCCUCCUCGCAGGGCUUGUCUUCAUCCUCGGCGUGACCGGCACGGACGGUUUUGCCCGGGCAGGCCGUCGAGCGUGCGCCGCGGAGGCGCCGAGCCGGCCGGCCGCCGUCCCGCAGUCCCCCGUGCAGCC
This 731-nucleotide long non-coding RNA is filed under the name Struthio camelus australis. RNAcentral's name for it is "lncRNA (ENSSCUG00000002344.1)". The record is from RNAcentral. Lineage: Eukaryota; Metazoa; Chordata; Aves; Struthioniformes; Struthionidae.